GUCCAUGGCUAUCCUACCCCAAACAUACCUGAUCUUAUCUGACCUUAGAAGCUAAGCAGCGUAUGGCUUGGUUAGAAGUUGGAUGGGAGAACUAAGAAAAAGAAAAAGAAUGACU
Molecule: ribosomal RNA, 115 nt
Filed under: Otolemur garnettii (small-eared galago)
Lineage: Eukaryota; Metazoa; Chordata; Mammalia; Primates; Galagidae
Source: RNAcentral